Molecule: ribosomal RNA, 216 nt
Filed under: uncultured bacterium
Lineage: Bacteria
Description: partial 16S ribosomal RNA
Rfam family: Bacterial small subunit ribosomal RNA
Source: RNAcentral
UACGUAGGGUCCGAGCGUUUGUCCGGAAUUACUGGGCGUAAAGCGUGCGCAGGCGGCUUCUUAGGCAUGACGUGAAAGCCCCCGGGCUCAACCCGGGGAGGGUCGUCGUGAACCGGGGGGGCUUGAGGCCGGUAGAGGUGGGUGGACUCUGGUAGAGUGGUGAAAUGCGUAGAGAUCAGGAAGAACACCCCGUGGCGAAAGGCGGCCCACUGGGGC